This 181-nucleotide non-coding RNA is filed under the name Couchioplanes caeruleus subsp. caeruleus. RNAcentral describes it as "FMN riboswitch aptamer (RFN element)". It matches the Rfam family "FMN riboswitch aptamer (RFN element)". From Rfam's summary of the family: The RFN element is a highly conserved domain that is found frequently in the 5'-untranslated regions of prokaryotic mRNAs that encode for flavin mononucleotide (FMN) biosynthesis and transport proteins. This element is a metabolite-dependent riboswitch that directly binds FMN in the absence of proteins. In Bacillus subtilis, the riboswitch most likely controls gene expression by causing premature transcription termination within the 5' untranslated region of the ribDEAHT operon and precluding access to the ribosome-binding site of ypaA mRNA. RNAcentral also lists the same sequence under 1 other name. The record is from Rfam by way of RNAcentral. Lineage: Bacteria; Bacillati; Actinomycetota; Actinomycetes; Micromonosporales; Micromonosporaceae.
ACGCGCUGGCGGGACUCGGUGAAAUUCCGAACCGGCGGUGAUCCUCCCUUUGCGGGGAGGUAAGCCCGCGACCCGGACGUCGCUCUUCGGCGGACGGUGGACCUGGUGAGAAUCCGGGGCCGACGGUUGAUCGACCGGCACACGCCGAUCGGUCAGACAGUCCGGAUGGGAGACAGCGCGC